This 381-nucleotide ribosomal RNA is filed under the name Brevibacillus laterosporus. Its description in RNAcentral is "bacterial SSU rRNA". It matches the Rfam family "Bacterial small subunit ribosomal RNA", at positions 1 to 388 of the family's 1533-position model. Lineage: Bacteria; Bacillati; Bacillota; Bacilli; Caryophanales; Paenibacillaceae. The record is from RNAcentral.
UGGAGAGUUUGAUCCUGGCUCAGGACGAACGCUGGCGGCGUGCCUAAUACAUGCAAGUCGAGCGAGGGUCUUCGGACCCUAGCGGCGGACGGGUGAGUAACACGUAGGCAACCUGCCUGUAAGACUGGGAUAACAUAGGGAAACUUAUGCUAAUACCGGAUAGGGUUUUGCUUCGCCUGAAGCGAAACGGAAAGAUGGCGCAAGCUAUCACUUACAGAUGGGCCUGCGGCGCAUUAGCUAGUUGGUGAGGUAACGGCUCACCAAGGCGACGAUGCGUAGCCGACCUGAGAGGGUGACCGGCCACACUGGGACUGAGACACGGCCCAGACUCCUACGGGAGGCAGCAGUAGGGAAUUUUCCACAAUGGACGAAAGUCUGAUG